RNAcentral lists this ribosomal RNA (116 nucleotides) under uncultured eukaryote. RNAcentral's name for it is "partial small subunit ribosomal RNA". The record is from RNAcentral.
GUUGGUUCUACCCGAAGCUGCUGUGCUAACCGCAAGGAGGCAGGCAACCACGGUAGGGUUAGCGACUGGGGUGAAGUCGUAACAAGGUAGCYGUAGGUGAACCUGCAGAAGGAUCA